This 2685-nucleotide ribosomal RNA is filed under the name Salmonella enterica subsp. enterica. RNAcentral's name for it is "bacterial LSU rRNA". It matches the Rfam family "Bacterial large subunit ribosomal RNA". The record is from RNAcentral. Lineage: Bacteria; Pseudomonadati; Pseudomonadota; Gammaproteobacteria; Enterobacterales; Enterobacteriaceae.
CCGAAUGGGGAAACCCAGUGUGACUCGUCACACUAUCAUUAACUGAAUCCAUAGGUUAAUGAGGCGAACCGGGGGAACUGAAACAUCUAAGUACCCCGAGGAAAAGAAAUCAACCGAGAUUCCCCCAGUAGCGGCGAGCGAACGGGGAGGAGCCCAGAGCCUGAAUCAGCAUGUGUGUUAGUGGAAGCGUCUGGAAAGGCGCGCGAUACAGGGUGACAGCCCCGUACACAAAAGCGCAUGUGCUGUGAGCUCGAUGAGUAGGGCGGGACACGUGGUAUCCUGUCUGAAUAUGGGGGGACCAUCCUCCAAGGCUAAAUACUCCUGACUGACCGAUAGUGAACCAGUACCGUGAGGGAAAGGCGAAAAGAACCCCGGCGAGGGGAGUGAAAAAGAACCUGAAACCGUGUACGUACAAGCAGUGGGAGCACCCUUUGGGGUGUGACUGCGUACCUUUUGUAUAAUGGGUCAGCGACUUAUAUUCUGUAGCAAGGUUAACCGAAUAGGGGAGCCGGAGGGAAACCGAGUCUUAAUUGGGCGUUAAGUUGCAGGGUAUAGACCCGAAACCCGGUGAUCUAGCCAUGGGCAGGUUGAAGGUUGGGUAACACUAACUGGAGGACCGAACCGACUAAUGUUGAAAAAUUAGCGGAUGACCUGUGGCUGGGGGUGAAAGGCCAAUCAAACCGGGAGAUAGCUGGUUCUCCCCGAAAGCUAUUUAGGUAGCGCCUCGUGAAUUCAUCUCCGGGGGUAGAGCACUGUUUCGGCUAGGGGGCCAUCCCGGCUUACCAACCCGAUGCAAACUGCGAAUACCGGAGAAUGUUAUCACGGGAGACACACGGCGGGUGCUAACGUCCGUCGUGAAGAGGGAAACAACCCAGACCGCCAGCUAAGGUCCCAAAGUCAUGGUUAAGUGGGAAACGAUGUGGGAAGGCCCAGACAGCCAGGAUGUUGGCUUAGAAGCAGCCAUCAUUUAAAGAAAGCGUAAUAGCUCACUGGUCGAGUCGGCCUGCGCGGAAGAUGUAACGGGGCUAAACCAUGCACCGAAGCUGCGGCAGCGACACUCAGGUGUUGUUGGGUAGGGGAGCGUUCUGUAAGCCUGCGAAGGUGGCCUGUGAGGGUUGCUGGAGGUAUCAGAAGUGCGAAUGCUGACAUAAGUAACGAUAAAGCGGGUGAAAAGCCCGCUCGCCGGAAGACCAAGGGUUCCUGUCCAACGUUAAUCGGGGCAGGGUGAGUCGACCCCUAAGGCGAGGCCGAAAGGCGUAGUCGAUGGGAAACGGGUUAAUAUUCCCGUACUUGGUGUUACUGCGAAGGGGGGACGGAGAAGGCUAUGUUGGCCGGGCGACGGUUGUCCCGGUUUAAGCGUGUAGGUGUGUGUUCCAGGUAAAUCCGGUUCACUUUAACACUGAGGCGUGACGACGAGGCACUACGGUGCUGAAGCAACAAAUGCCCUGCUUCCAGGAAAAGCCUCUAAGCAUCAGGUAACAUCAAAUCGUACCCCAAACCGACACAGGUGGUCAGGUAGAGAAUACCAAGGCGCUUGAGAGAACUCGGGUGAAGGAACUAGGCAAAAUGGUGCCGUAACUUCGGGAGAAGGCACGCUGACACGUAGGUGAAGUGAUUUACUCACGGAGCUGAAGUCAGUCGAAGAUACCAGCUGGCUGCAACUGUUUAUUAAAAACACAGCACUGUGCAAACACGAAAGUGGACGUAUACGGUGUGACGCCUGCCCGGUGCCGGAAGGUUAAUUGAUGGGGUCAGCGCAAGCGAAGCUCCUGAUCGAAGCCCCGGUAAACGGCGGCCGUAACUAUAACGGUCCUAAGGUAGCGAAAUUCCUUGUCGGGUAAGUUCCGACCUGCACGAAUGGCGUAAUGAUGGCCAGGCUGUCUCCACCCGAGACUCAGUGAAAUUGAACUCGCUGUGAAGAUGCAGUGUACCCGCGGCAAGACGGAAAGACCCCGUGAACCUUUACUAUAGCUUGACACUGAACAUUGAGCCUUGAUGUGUAGGAUAGGUGGGAGGCUUUGAAGUGUGGACGCCAGUCUGCAUGGAGCCGACCUUGAAAUACCACCCUUUAAUGUUUGAUGUUCUAACGUGGACCCGUGAUCCGGGUUGCGGACAGUGUCUGGUGGGUAGUUUGACUGGGGCGGUCUCCUCCUAAAGAGUAACGGAGGAGCACGAAGGUUGGCUAAUCCUGGUCGGACAUCAGGAGGUUAGUGCAAUGGCAUAAGCCAGCUUGACUGCGAGCGUGACGGCGCGAGCAGGUGCGAAAGCAGGUCAUAGUGAUCCGGUGGUUCUGAAUGGAAGGGCCAUCGCUCAACGGAUAAAAGGUACUCCGGGGAUAACAGGCUGAUACCGCCCAAGAGUUCAUAUCGACGGCGGUGUUUGGCACCUCGAUGUCGGCUCAUCACAUCCUGGGGCUGAAGUAGGUCCCAAGGGUAUGGCUGUUCGCCAUUUAAAGUGGUACGCGAGCUGGGUUUAGAACGUCGUGAGACAGUUCGGUCCCUAUCUGCCGUGGGCGCUGGAGAACUGAGGGGGGCUGCUCCUAGUACGAGAGGACCGGAGUGGACGCAUCACUGGUGUUCGGGUUGUCAUGCCAAUGGCACUGCCCGGUAGCUAAAUGCGGAAGAGAUAAGUGCUGAAAGCAUCUAAGCACGAAACUUGCCCCGAGAUGAGUUCUCCCUGAGACUU